AUUGAACGCUGGCGGAAUGCUUUACACAUGCAAGUCGAACGGCAGCACGGACUUCGGUCUGGUGGCGAGUGGCGAACGGGUGAGUAAUGUAUCGGAACGUGCCCAGUCGUGGGGGAUAACGUAGUGAAAAUUACGCUAAUACCGCAUACGAUCUAUGGAUGAAAGCGGGGGACCGUAAGGCCUCGCGCGAUUGGAGCGGCCGAUAUCAGAUUAGGUAGUUGGUGGGGUAAGGGCUCACCAAGCCGACGAUCUGUAGCUGGUCUGAGAGGACGACAAGCCACACUGGAACUGAGACACGGUCCAGACUCCUACGGGAGGCAGCAGUGGGGAAUUUUGGACAAUGGGCGCAAGCCUGAUCCAGCCAUUCCGCGUGCAGGAUGAAGGCCCUCGGGUUGUAAACUGCUUUUGUACGGAACGAAAAGGUCCUGGUUAAUACCUGGGGCUCAUGACGGUACCGUAAGAAUAAGCACCGGCUAACUACGUGCCAGCAGCCGCGGUAA
This 500-nucleotide ribosomal RNA is filed under the name uncultured bacterium. RNAcentral describes it as "partial 16S ribosomal RNA". It matches the Rfam family "Bacterial small subunit ribosomal RNA", at positions 30 to 523 of the family's 1533-position model. The record is from RNAcentral.